Molecule: ribosomal RNA, 447 nt
Filed under: uncultured bacterium
Lineage: Bacteria
Description: bacterial SSU rRNA
Rfam family: Bacterial small subunit ribosomal RNA
Source: RNAcentral
AAACCAGACUCCUACGGGAGGCAGCAGUGGGGAAUAUUGCACAAUGGGGGAAACCCUGAUGCAGCGACGCCGCGUGAGUGAAGAAGUAUUUCGGUAUGUAAAGCUCUAUCAGCAGGGAAGAAAAUGACGGUACCUGACUAAGAAGCCCCGGCUAACUACGUGCCAGCAGCCGCGGUAAUACGUAGGGGGCAAGCGUUAUCCGGAUUUACUGGGUGUAAAGGGAGCGUAGACGGCAUGGCAAGUCAGAUGUGAAAGCCCGGGGCUCAACCCCGGGACUGCAUUUGAAACUGUCAGGCUGGAGUGCAGGAGAGGUAAGUGGAAUUCCUAGUGUAGCGGUGAAAUGCGUAGAUAUACGGAGGAACACCAGUGGCGAAGGCGGCCUGCUGGACAUUAACUGACGCUGAGGCGCGAAAGCGUGGGGAGCAAACAGGAUUAGAUACCCGAGUA